This 614-nucleotide ribosomal RNA is filed under the name Sphaeropsis citrigena. Its description in RNAcentral is "eukaryotic LSU rRNA". It matches the Rfam family "Eukaryotic large subunit ribosomal RNA", at positions 38 to 667 of the family's 3401-position model. Lineage: Eukaryota; Fungi; Ascomycota; Dothideomycetes; Botryosphaeriales; Botryosphaeriaceae. The record is from RNAcentral.
GCAUAUCAAUAAGCGGAGGAAAAGAAACCAACAGGGAUUGCCUUAGUAACGGCGAGUGAAGCGGCAAUAGCUCAAAUUUGAAAGCUGGCCCUUUCAGGGUCCGCGUUGUAAUUUGUAGAGGAUGAUUCGGCGAGGGCUCCCGCCUAAGUCCCCUGGAACGGGGCGUCAUAGAGGGUGAGAAUCCCGUAUGUGGUGGGCUGCCUUAGCCAUGUGAAUCUCCUUCGACGAGUCGAGUUGUUUGGGAAUGCAGCUCUAAAUGGGAGGUAAAUUUCUUCUAAAGCUAAAUACCGGCCAGAGACCGAUAGCGCACAAGUAGAGUGAUCGAAAGAUGAAAAGCACUUUGGAAAGAGAGUUAAAAAGUACGUGAAAUUGUUGAAAGGGAAGCGCUUGCAACCAGACUUGUCCGCAGUUGCUCAGCCGGUCUCCUGACCGGCGUACUCUUCUGCGGCCAGGCCAGCAUCAGUUCGGGCGGUCGGAUAAAGACCUCGGGAAUGUAGCUCCUCUCGGGGAGUGUUAUAGCCCGGGGUGGAAUGCGGCCAGCCUGGACUGAGGAUCUCGCUUCGGCAAGGAUGCUGGCGUAAUGGUUGUAAGCGGCCCGUCUUGAAACACGGACC